GAUGAAGAACGUAGCGAAAUGCGAUACUUGGUGUGAAUUGCAGAAUCCCGUGAACCAUCGAGUCUUUGAACGCAAGUUGCGCCCGAAGCCAUUAGGCCGAGGGCACGCCUGCCUGGGCGUCACACGUCGUUGCCCCCCCAUCUACUCCUUCGGGAUUGCGGGGGGCGGAUGAUGGCCUCCCGUGCGCCUCGUCGCGCGGUUGGCAUAAAUGCCAAGUCCUCGGCGACGCACGCCACGACAAUCGGUGGUUGCGAAACCUCGGUUGCCCGUCGUGUGCGGUCGUCGCGCAUCGAGGGCUCGAAAAAAUUGCCGGGCUCCGGCUCGGCUUUCAACGCGACCCCAGGUCAGGCGGGGUUACCCGCUGAAUUUAACCAUAUCAAUAAGCGGAGGA
This 391-nucleotide unclassified non-coding RNA is filed under the name soil metagenome. RNAcentral describes it as "partial contains 5.8S ribosomal RNA, internal transcribed spacer 2, and large subunit ribosomal RNA". The stretch from base 1 to 122 matches the Rfam family "5.8S ribosomal RNA", at positions 35 to 154 of the family's 154-position model. The record is from RNAcentral.